RNAcentral lists this long non-coding RNA (296 nucleotides) under Carica papaya (papaya). RNAcentral describes it as "long non-coding RNA (CPAP_LNC006357)". Lineage: Eukaryota; Viridiplantae; Streptophyta; Magnoliopsida; Brassicales; Caricaceae. The record is from RNAcentral.
UAGUGUGAUUUCGAUCACUAGAAUCGCCACACGCAACCAUACGUAUGUCCUUGAUUUGUUACGUGUCGCUACUGGAGUGUUGUUUUCAGACCUUCGCCGGCCAUUGCACACCACCACGAACCAUAAUAAAUCAACUAGAAUUCACCACGAAAUGCUUCGUACACUCAGAUCUACCGAAUAUAUGGAGAAAUCACAUCGAAAGAAGCAAGGGAUGAGUGACCAACUGUCGUAGAUCUCCUUCUUCUUCAGAUGCACAUCGUCGCACGAUUAUCCCUCUAGUUUUCGAUCGUGCAGAU